RNAcentral lists this ribosomal RNA (497 nucleotides) under uncultured bacterium. RNAcentral describes it as "partial 16S ribosomal RNA". It matches the Rfam family "Bacterial small subunit ribosomal RNA", at positions 28 to 507 of the family's 1533-position model. The record is from RNAcentral.
GAUGCACGCUGGCGGCGUGCCUAAUACAUGCAAGUCGAGCGAACAGACGAGGAGCUUUCUCCUCUGACGUUAGCGGCGGACGGGUGAGUAACACGUGGAUAACCUACCUAUAAGACUGGGAUAACUUCGGGAAACCGGAGCUAAUACCGGAUACUAUAUUGAACCGCAUGGUUCAAUAGUGAAAGAUGGUUUUGCUGUCACUUAUAGAUGGAUCCGCGCCGCAUUAGCUAGUUGGUAAGGUAACGGCUUACCAAGGCAACGAUGCGUAGCCGACCUGAGAGGGUGAUCGGCCACACUGGAACUGAGACACGGUCCAGACUCCUACGGGAGGCAGCAGUAGGGAAUCUUCCGCAAUGGGCGAAAGCCUGACGGAGCAACGCCGCGUGAGUGAUGAAGGUCUUCGGAUCGUAAAACUCUGUUAUUAGGGAAGAACAAAUGUGUAAGUAACUAUGCACGUCUUGACGGUACCUAAUCAGAAAGCCACGGCUAACUACGUG